This 1091-nucleotide long non-coding RNA is filed under the name Nicotiana tabacum (common tobacco). RNAcentral's name for it is "long non-coding RNA (NTAB_LNC008935)". Lineage: Eukaryota; Viridiplantae; Streptophyta; Magnoliopsida; Solanales; Solanaceae. The record is from RNAcentral.
AAAAAAAAAGAGUCAUUUUCCUAAAGCCAGACGCCCACCUGUAUAACGAGAAGAACACAUUUCAGUCUUUUUCAUUACAAGUGUUGAAGUUGGGAGACCGCCCAUAGAACAGAGGAAUACAUUUCAGUCCUUACAUUUCAAGCAUUGAAGUUAGGCGCCCACCUGUAUAACAAGGGAAUACAUCCUAAUCUAGUGUUUAGUUCACUCUCAGCACUGCAUCAGUAGUAUCAGUGGGCUACGAUUUUGCUAACGACUCACAAACCUCCCCAGGGCAAACUGGGUUAGGAAAUUUUGUUUGUUUUAUUUGUUUUGAUUGUCAGGGACCCGCCUGUAGAACGGAGUUUGUGGUAUGUCAAAGAUCGAAGAAGUCAGGAGUCCGCCUGUAAAAGAUCAAGCAGUGACCCACUGGAAAGCAGAAGGAUUACAACAGAAAUCCCCAGCAUUCAAUCCAAGUUAGAAGCUCGCCUCAAGAACGCGAAUCAAUAGUCUGGGAUGGUCAACAAAAGCUAGUCACAAAAACAAAACAAAAAAAGAAGAAAAAUGAAUGAAUCCAAAGCACGGAAGUGGAGAACAGAUGUGAUCUGCUCAAGAACUAGCGCCUACAACUAGCAAGUAUCAAGGUUCAAAUCCAAAGUCUGUAUGAAGCACCAUUCAAAACUCAAGACCAAGUUUCAGAAGACUUAAGAGAUAGGAAUCCUUGUAACUAGUAGCUGAUAGGCUUAGUUAGUCUUUUUCAGUUUACAUUUUUGUUGUAAUAACAGGACCGCGGACCGGAACCUCGACGGAACGGCACCUCGAUCGGCUCUCCACUUCGGUACACCUCACUAUCUCUCUCAUAUCCCGAACUACACGUGGCCUGAUUCCUGUAUAACCAAGGAUAUGUAGGCAGCUCAGAUACCAGGGCUCGGUCAUAAUCCCUCCCUUUCCUUAAGUGUAGUCCGUCCAAGUAAUGGUCGGGUCAAAAACACGGCUAGUCGUUCUUUGUCGGAAAACUCUUCGUGUUUCCAGUCAAAGAGGGGCAGCUGUAAGCACGUGAUUUUUGACCCUCCCCGAGAAUUUUCACAUUUUUAGCGUGAAUAUGUGAAAUUGGG